Molecule: long non-coding RNA, 1179 nt
Organism: Corapipo altera (White-ruffed manakin)
Lineage: Eukaryota; Metazoa; Chordata; Aves; Passeriformes; Pipridae
Exons: 5
Source: RefSeq, a predicted model, not a curated record
AGAGUUCCUAAUUAAGCAUAAAAAUAAAUUAGCACAGAAGCUAUUACCUUCUUAGCAAUUAGCACAGGGGAGAGGAAAUUUUAGCAAAUUCUGGUAUUCUGAUUUUUUUCCCCUAAACAUUCUCUUGGCUGCCUGAGUUUUACCCACCAGCACGGUCCCAACAGCCGGGCAGAUACCUCACACAGUGAGGAGCUAGGAAAUGAUUCACAGCAUUCACUUUGCCAGGGAAUUUUCUGAAUAACAAAAUCCGAGUGGGAACAGCACUAAGCAACCAAACUCUCAAAGCUUUAAAUUAAAAACUAUCAGAGGCUAUUUAGGACUAGGACAGAAAUAGGAGGAAGUAAAAGCAAAAUUCUGCAGAAAAGGGGCUCGAUGCGUGAAGCACCUGAGACAAGGAAGUUACUCUUUUACCACCAUGUGAAGUACUGAACCGAUCUUGAGAGUGAAUUUCAUGCCUCUUACCAGUUGCCAGUGAAAGUGUCCCCUGAAUUGCUUGCUGGUAACUGUCCUGCAGAACUGGCACCAGCAACCUCCAAGCAAGCUCUUCCCACACUCAUGUGCCAAUAGGUCUGGAAAAGGUGGAUUAUUUAUUUCCAAGAGAACAUCAUAAAUCACCAGGUGUCACUGAGAAAGUGAUGGAGAAUACACAAUUCCAGUUUUGGACAGAAAGAAUCUGUCCAACACUGCAAGAGAUCUUUCAAAGCAUGCAAAGUUUUCUAUGAAUUGAGAAAUUAAGACAAUGGGGUCACAGGAAUUCCAGGGCAUCAGAAUUCCUGUGCCGGAGUAGUAGCCCCAUAAGAAAUAAAUCCUGUGCUUCUGACUCUUCGAGACAUGGCUCUGAAGCAUGUAGUGCUGGGAUGCUGUAACUCACAUGGAAAUAGAAGCAUGGACUACCUCUGUCAGGCUCCCACAUCAACCCAGCUUCCUGAGCUACACUCACUCAUGAAUUCUCCAGUCACCAGAGGAGAGACCUUCUUGCAUCAUAUGUAAAUAGAGUAUGUGCGGUCCAGCCAAGGAGCCCCAUUAGAAAUAAGCCACCAUCCUUCUGUGGAAUCUGGCUCAAAGGUGACCAGGUGUUGUACUUGUCUUCAAAUAUUUAGACUCUUUUAACAAACAGUACUAUUUGGACUCAGAUUUGACUUAAAACCAUAUAAUUUUUGCAUCAGUUUUUCCAGUUGA